Molecule: ribosomal RNA, 462 nt
Filed under: uncultured bacterium
Lineage: Bacteria
Description: bacterial SSU rRNA
Rfam family: Bacterial small subunit ribosomal RNA
Source: RNAcentral
UUACGGGAGGCAGCAGUGGGGAAUCUUGCGCAAUGGACGAAAGUCUGACGCAGCGACGCCGCGUGGGUGAUGAAGGCCUUCGGGUUGUAAAGCCCUGUGGGGAGAGACGAAUAAGUGCAGCCUAACACGUUGCAUGAUGACGGUAUCUCCUUAGCAAGCACCGGCUAACUCUGUGCCAGCAGCCGCGGUAAGACAGAGGGUGCAAACGUUGUUCGGAAUUACUGGGCGUAAAGCGUGUGUAGGCGGCCUUAUAAGUCGGAUGUGAAAGCCCCGGGCUCAACUCGGGAAGUGCACUCGAUACUGUGAGGCUUGAGUAUCGGAGAGGUUGGUGGAAUUCUCGGUGUAGAGGUGAAAUUCGUAGAUAUCGAGAGGAACACCGGUGGCGAAAGCGGCCAACUGGACGAAUACUGACGCUGAGACACGAAAGCGUGGGGAGCAAACAGGCUUAGAUACCCCGGUAGU